RNAcentral lists this ribosomal RNA (463 nucleotides) under uncultured bacterium. RNAcentral describes it as "partial 16S ribosomal RNA". It matches the Rfam family "Bacterial small subunit ribosomal RNA", at positions 28 to 507 of the family's 1533-position model. The record is from RNAcentral.
GAUGAACGCUGACAGAAUGCUUAACACAUGCAAGUCUUUGGCGAAGCUGUGCUCGCACAGCCUAGCCAAGGCGGACGGGUGAGUAACGCGUAAGGAACUUGCCCUGCAGUCAGGGAUAACAGACGGAAACGACUGAUAAGACCUGGUAAAGUCAGGCGGACUCAUGUCCAGCCUGAUGAAAAGAGAUGCUGCAGGAGAGCCUUGCGUCCUAUUAGCUUGUUGGUGGGGUAACGGCCCACCAAGGCGAUGAUAGGUAGCCGGCCUGAGAGGGUGGACGGCCACAAGGGGACUGAGAUACGCCCCUUACUCCUACGGGAGGCAGAAGUGGGGAAUAUUGGACAAUGGGGGCAACCCGGAUCCAGCAAUUCUGUGUGCACGAGGAAGGUUUUCGGAUUGAAAAGUGAUUUCAGCAGGGAAGAAAAAAAUGACGGUACCUGAAGAAGAAGCGACGGCUAAAUACGUG